Long non-coding RNA from Polypterus senegalus (gray bichir), 234 nucleotides. RefSeq lists it as uncharacterized. Lineage: Eukaryota; Metazoa; Chordata; Cladistia; Polypteriformes; Polypteridae. The record is from RefSeq and is a predicted model, not a curated record. The transcript has 3 exons.
AUCUCAGUGUCAGCACCACCAUGAGACUCACCACCUUGCUGCUCCUGCUGUGCCUGUGCUCUGCUGCGAUGGCUUUGCCAUCUCAAUCGCCAACCAAGCCAGCAAUCAAGUUAUCUACUUGGGGAGAUGUGCACCCAAAAGCUAAGCGGCCAAAAGGACCAAACCUGACCAAUCAUUGCCAAGAAAGAAGAAGUCAAAGAAUGUCUAUUAAUUUAAAAUAAAACCAAACCCAUU